CCCGCACAGGAGACCCUCCACUCCGGCAGGGUCGGAGCCGGCCAGAUCCCCCGGCGCUCGCUGGACACUCAGGGGCUGACCCGCGGGGCACCCAGCAUGCCCACCAAGACGCUCUGGCUGCCUCUGGCGUGGCUAGUGGCAACAGCCACGGUCACUGUCACCCCGGUGCUCACUCUGGAGGCCUCUCCCAGCUGGAUGACACUGCUUGGAGAGCCCCUGACAUCGCCUGUGCCCCCUGCUCGUACCCCAGCUCCCUCGCAGAACGUGGGGACCUCAGUCCUGCCCGAGCCCACCUCCAGCGCCCC
Molecule: non-coding RNA, 305 nt
Organism: Sturnus vulgaris (Common starling)
Lineage: Eukaryota; Metazoa; Chordata; Aves; Passeriformes; Sturnidae
Source: RefSeq, a predicted model, not a curated record